This 918-nucleotide ribosomal RNA is filed under the name uncultured archaeon. RNAcentral describes it as "bacterial SSU rRNA". It matches the Rfam family "Archaeal small subunit ribosomal RNA", at positions 1 to 926 of the family's 1478-position model. The record is from RNAcentral.
UUCCGGUUGAUCCUGCCGGAGGCCACCGCUAUUGGAAUCCGAUUUAGACAUGUGAGUCGAGAGUCUUCGGGACUCGGCGGACGGCUCAGUAACACGCGGAUAAUCUGCCCUUGGGUGGGGAAUAAUCUCGGGAAACUGAGCAUAAUACCCCAUAGGCCUGAGAUGCUGGAACGCUUUCAGGCUAAAAGCUCCGGCGCCCAAGGAUGAGUCUGCGGCCUAUCAGCUUGUAGUUGGUGUAAAUGACCAACUAGGCGACGACGGGUACGGGCAUUGGGAGAUGUAGCCCGGAGAUGGACUCUGAGACACGAGUCCAGGCCCUACGGGGCGCAGCAGUCGCGAAAACUUCACAAUGUGGGAAACCGCGAUGAGGGGAUUCCAAGUGCUUACGUUUUGCGUAAGCUGUUCUUCUGCCUAAAAAGCAGGGGAAGUAAGGGCUGGGUAAGACGGGUGCCAGCCGCCGCGGUAAUACCCGCAGCCCGAGUGGUGGUCGAUAUUAUUGAGCUUAAAGCGUCCGUAGCCUGUCUGGUAAAUUCUUGGGUAAAUCGUGCAGCUUAACUGUCCGAAUUCCGGGGAGACUGCCAGACUUGGGACCGGGAGAGGUUGGAGGUACUCCUGGGGUAGGGGUAAAAUCCCGUAAUCCUGGGAGGACCAUCAGUGGCGAAGGCGUCCAACUGGAACGGAUCCGACGGUCAGGGACGAAGCCCUGGGUCGCGAACUGGAUUAGAUACCCAGGUAGUCCAGGGUGUAAACGCUGCAGACUUGGUGUCGGAGGUCCUACGAGGGCGUCCGGUGCUGGAGAGAAAUUGUUAAGUCUGCCGCUUGGGGAGUACGUCCGCAAGGAUGAAACUUAAAGGAAUUGGCGGGAGAGCACCGCAACGGGAGGAGCGUGCGGUUCAAUUGGACUCAACGCCGGUAAUC